RNAcentral lists this ribosomal RNA (531 nucleotides) under uncultured Diversispora. RNAcentral's name for it is "SSU rRNA". It matches the Rfam family "Eukaryotic small subunit ribosomal RNA", at positions 548 to 1080 of the family's 1831-position model. The record is from RNAcentral. Lineage: Eukaryota; Fungi; Glomeromycota; Glomeromycetes; Diversisporales; Diversisporaceae.
UUGGAGGGCAAGUCUGGUGCCAGCAGCCGCGGUAAUUCCAGCUCCAAUAGCGUAUAUUAAAGUUGUUGCAGUUAAAAAGCUCGUAGUUGAACUUCGGGAUUUAUUCAUUGGUCAGGCUUAAUUGUCUGUACUGGUGAGAUAAAUCUCUACCUUCUGAGGAACUUUCAUGCCAUUUAUUUGGUGUGAUUGGAAAUCAGGACUAUUACUUUGAAAAAUUAGAGUGUUUAAAGCAGGCUAACGUCUGAAUACAUUAGCAUGGAAUAAUGAAAUAGGACGGUCUGGUUCUAUUUUGUUGGUUUCUAGGAUCACCGUAAUGAUUAAUAGGGAUAGUUGGGGGCAUUAGUAUUCAAUUGUCAGAGGUGAAAUUCUUGGAUUUAUUGAAGACUAACUACUGCGAAAGCAUUUGCCAAGGAUGUUUUCAUUAAUCAAGAACGAAAGUUAGGGGAUCGAAGACGAUCAGAUACCGUCGUAGUCUUAACCAUAAACUAUGCCGACUAGGGAUCGGACGAAGUUAUUAAAAAUGAACGCGUU